UUAGAGUUUGAUCCUGGCUCAGGACGAACGCUGGCGGCGUGCUUCAUACAUGCAAGUCGAGCGAGGUCCAUCCGGGGGUAACCCUGGUGAAGACCUAGCGGCGAACGGGUGAGUAACACGUGAGCAACCUGCCCCGAACACUGGGAUAAGCCCGGGAAACUGGGUCUAAUACCGGACACCCUCACGGAACCGCAUGGCUCUGUGAGGAAAGGUCCGCUGGUUCGGGAUGGGCUCGCGGCCUAUCAGCUUGUUGGCGGGGUAACGGCCCACCAAGGCAUCGACGGGUAGCUGGCCUGAGAGGGUGACCAGCCACACUGGGACUGAGACACGGCCCAGACUCCUACGGGAGGCAGCAGUAGGGAAUCUUGCGCAAUGGGCGAAAGCCUGACGCAGCGACGCCGCGUGCGGGAUGACAGCCUUCGGGUUGUAAACCGCUUUUGGCAGGACGAAGCGAAAGUGACGGUACCUGCAGAAUAAGCCCCGGCC
This 486-nucleotide ribosomal RNA is filed under the name uncultured bacterium. RNAcentral describes it as "bacterial SSU rRNA". It matches the Rfam family "Bacterial small subunit ribosomal RNA", at positions 1 to 498 of the family's 1533-position model. The record is from RNAcentral.